GAUCUUCUGUAAGGUCGAGGUACUUCCCCAGUUGGGCUGCUCCAUAUUUUGAGUUCGAUAUUUCCCACUGUAUCAUAUCUCAAUAAAUAUUAUGUUUUUGAACUGACUAACUUUUAUUUGAAAAUAUUGAUUCCGAUAAUGAAGAAUAGGAUAACCAAUACCGAUUAGAUGGAUUUUAAGACAUAUUUUGUUUUUGACAGCCGGUGGAAGCACUAAUUGAUUAACUAACUAGGAAUGAUUUUUUGUUUGUUGAUUGUGUAUAGUUGAUAAACUUUUAUUAUUUUAAAGGAUAAUUAUAAAGGAGACUAUGGUGAUGACUAUGGGCAACACACACGAGUUGACGCCAUUUUUGGCGUGAACUUGUGGAGGCCUAUGGCCAACAGUGUACUGUAAAGGCUGAAGUGAUGAUGCAGUGAUAAAGGAGCCCCCAAUAAAAUCCUAAAAGUAAGACAUAAUAAAUACAAACCUCAUAUAUAAUAAUAAAAACAUGUUACAAAUUACAAAUUUAUUGGCUCUGUUAAACCGUUUUCUUACAAAACUUACAUACAUGCAUACUAUUACAAUAAAAACAAUAAAAAUACUUUAAUUCUAAGCACUUUUUAAUUUAUUAUACAUAUGGUUAUAAGUAGUAAAUGCUUACACUAUAAAAUAAAGGCCGUAAUAAUCCUGGCUCUGGUAUCUUAUACAUACCUGUUGGGAACCAUAUGCAUUUUGAUGUCUGAAACACUCCAAAGAUCCAACGUCAGAAAUUUUUUGAUAACUUACACUCACUCGCAGGUAAUUGUGCCAAAAUUACUGCAUAUGAUUUGACUAUAUUUAUAAGGGAAUAACACAGAGAUACUAAACUAUAUCUAUAGUCAACGCGAAUAGCGUUAAAACAAUAGCAAAAUAUAAAACUAUUAUUAACUUCAUAUUAAUUAAUAAUAAAGCACUUAAAAAGAAAGAAUAAAGUGUCAUAUUUUUGAUAAAACCGAAAACGAUGUCUCGAAAUCCGAUAACUACUAUUUCGUACCGUUCGUUUACACAGGUAAAAUUGGAAAAUAUAAUCUUUAAAUAGUAAAUUUUAAAUUAUUAUUUCGUUAUUAUUGUCAAAAUCUUUUUUUUUAAAUGAGUCUACCUAAAUUGUUUGUUCUUGUAUAUUCAGUUAUAUUUUGAUAUACAACCGUCAUAUUACUUUAGCAUUUAAGGAUUUUUGAUAUUACACCAUAUCAGCCAGGUAGUGCCUUGAUCAUGGUCAAAUAUUAAGAUUAUUUAAUUUUGGUAAAAUCGCUUCCGAAAUGGGCGAUGUCACGUUCAUGUUGCGUCUGCCGCCAAAUACUGAUAUUUUGGACGACCGGUAUAAGGUGUGGACCCACCCCACUUAUAUGAAUUAAUUCUCGCUAAAAUAUUCUGUAGUUGUAGAUUUAGCAUCAUCUAUUUCAAGGUCUGGCCUCAACUUGGUGUAAUGUAAAUAAUCCUUUACAGUUGUUUAUAAAACAAUCGGUAGAAAAUUUUGUUUAAACAUGUUUCCUGUUUUAAACUUCAAGUGUGUGGAGGGGAUUAGUUAUACUUAUUUCCAUAGACAAUACUUUGAUUAAACAUAAGCGUUUUUGUUAUCUUUUAUAGGUUCCAAGGUAGGCGUUGCAGCUCGGACAGUAAUGAUCAGCGUUUAGGCAAGAAUUGACACAAUAUGGAACGCAAACGCAAGGCCAGCAUCUGAAAUAGGAAAAAAAUAAAUAAAUAAAUAUACUCAAAAAUAGCAUAAACAUUCUUUGGAACGCCAAUAACAACAGUAAUAUAAUGGCAUUGCGUCCUCGUGAUAAUUUUGUUUUAUCGUCACAUAGUUAAAAUUUUGACUUAUCACGUUUUUUUAGAAUUGUCUUUUUCUUCAAGGAGUGUCACUCUCAUCUUAUUAAUAACUAAUCAUUUAUAUAAGUUAGUGUAUGUUGUUAUUUUACGAAUUAGUUCCUUAGAAUCUUAAUUUAG
This 1965-nucleotide unclassified non-coding RNA is filed under the name Melitaea cinxia (Glanville fritillary). RNAcentral's name for it is "misc RNA ENSMCXG00005005192.1". Lineage: Eukaryota; Metazoa; Arthropoda; Insecta; Lepidoptera; Nymphalidae. The record is from RNAcentral.